CCUAAGGGAGGCAGCAGUGGGGAAUAUUGGACAAUGGGCGAAAGCCUGAUCCAGCCAUGCCGCGUGUGUGAAGAAGGCCUUCGGGUUGUAAAGCACUUUCAGUGGGGAAGAAAGCCUUGGGGCUAAUACCCUCGAGGAAGGACAUCACCCACAGAAGAAGCACCGGCUAACUCCGUGCCAGCAGCCGCGGUAAUACGGAGGGUGCGAGCGUUAAUCGGAAUUACUGGGCGUAAAGCGCGCGUAGGCGGUCUGAUAAGCCGGUUGUGAAAGCCCCGGGCUCAACCUGGGAACGGCAUCCGGAACUGUCAGGCUAGAGUGCAGGAGAGGAAGGUAGAAUUCCCGGUGUAGCGGUGAAAUGCGUAGAGAUCGGGAGGAAUACCAGUGGCGAAGGCGGCCUUCUGGACUGACACUGACGCUGAGGUGCGAAAGCGUGGGUAGCAAACAGGAUUAGAUACCCGAGUAGUC
Molecule: ribosomal RNA, 465 nt
Filed under: Vreelandella stevensii
Lineage: Bacteria; Pseudomonadati; Pseudomonadota; Gammaproteobacteria; Oceanospirillales; Halomonadaceae
Description: partial 16S ribosomal RNA
Rfam family: Bacterial small subunit ribosomal RNA
Source: RNAcentral